GGAUGAAGAACGCAGCGAAAUGCGAUAAGUAAUGUGAAUUGCAGAAUUCAGUGAAUCAUCGAAUCUUUGAACGCACAUUGCGCCCCCUGGCAUUCCGGGGGGCAUGCCUGUCCGAGCGUCACGAAAACCCCAUCACACUCGUUGUGGUCGUGGCGGCAGUGGGUAGCCUCCAGAGCGGGGGCGGCCACGCCGCUGAAAGGAAUGGUGCGGAUGAGUCCCGAUUGCCCGAGCGUAGUACUUGACGGCCGUCGGCCGAUCGGACCCUCCAUCUCGCCCUGACGAUGGACCCCCGUCGUACCCUCAGUGGUGGACCUCGGAUCAGGUAGGGAUACCCGCUGAACUUAAGCAUAUCAAUAAGCGGAGGA
RNAcentral lists this unclassified non-coding RNA (365 nucleotides) under soil metagenome. RNAcentral's name for it is "partial contains 5.8S ribosomal RNA, internal transcribed spacer 2, and large subunit ribosomal RNA". The stretch from base 2 to 121 matches the Rfam family "5.8S ribosomal RNA", at positions 35 to 154 of the family's 154-position model. The record is from RNAcentral.